This 304-nucleotide long non-coding RNA is filed under the name Mytilus galloprovincialis (Mediterranean mussel). Lineage: Eukaryota; Metazoa; Mollusca; Bivalvia; Mytilida; Mytilidae. The record is from RNAcentral.
UGGGUGUAAAAUGUCCGAAAGGAACCCCCUGUUUAAAAUCUUCAUGGAAUAAACAAUGCCCUUCAUCUGAAAUAGUUGUGGGUAACUCAGCAACAAAUUCGUCGGUUGAUGGCAGGUGUGAUAAUAAGUGUAGAGGUGGUUAUCCGUGUAAAUGACAGCUGCAUCAAAAUAGUGAUUCUUUGGCCUAUAACGAUCAACCAUGAUGUGGACAAUUAUCUUAAGAUUUAUUUUGAAGUGUCUGACAUUCCAUUGUUUGAUUACAGUAAACGAUGUAAAAUUAUUAUUUUUGUACAAAAAUCUUUUU